This 492-nucleotide ribosomal RNA is filed under the name uncultured bacterium. Its description in RNAcentral is "partial 16S ribosomal RNA". It matches the Rfam family "Bacterial small subunit ribosomal RNA", at positions 36 to 507 of the family's 1533-position model. The record is from RNAcentral.
CUUUCCCUCUUUCUUCAUGCUUUACACAUGCAAGUCGAACGGUAACAGGCCUUCGGGUGCUGACGAGUGGCGAACGGGUGAGUAAUGCAUCGGAACGUACCCAGAGGUGGGGGAUAACGCAGCGAAAGCUGUGCUAAUACCGCAUGUGAUCUGAGGAUGAAAGCGGGGGACCGAGCAGCAAUGUUUGGCCUCGCGCCUUUGGAGCGGCCGAUGUCGGAUUAGCUAGUUGGUGGGGUAAAGGCCUACCAAGGCGACGAUCCGUAGCUGGUCUGAGAGGACGACCAGCCACACUGUGACUGAGACACGGCCCAGACUCCUACGGGAGGCAGCAGUGGGGAAUUUUGGACAAUGGGCGCAAGCCUGAUCCAGCAAUGCCGCGUGCGGGAAGAAGGCCUUCGGGUUGUAAACCGCUUUUGGCAGGAGCGAAACGGUGUCCGCUAAUACCGGGCGCUAAUGACGGUACCUGCAGAAUAAGCACCGGCUAACUACGUG